This 433-nucleotide ribosomal RNA is filed under the name uncultured bacterium. RNAcentral's name for it is "partial 16S ribosomal RNA". It matches the Rfam family "Bacterial small subunit ribosomal RNA", at positions 29 to 507 of the family's 1533-position model. The record is from RNAcentral.
AACGAACGCUGGCGGCAGGCCUUACACAUGCAAGUCGAGCGGACCCUUCGGGGUUAGCGGCGGACGGGUGAGUAACGCGUGGGAAUAUGCCCUUCUCUACGGAAUAGUCCUGGGAAACUGGGGGUAAUACCGUAUACGCCCUUUGGGGGAAAGAUUUAUCGGGGAAGGAUUAGCCCGCGUUGGAUUAGGUAGUUGGUGGGGUAAUGGCCUACCAAGCCGACGAUCCAUAGCUGGUUUGAGAGGAUGAUCAGCCACACUGGGACUGAGACACGGCCCAGACUCCUACGGGAGGCAGCAGUGGGGAAUCUUAGACAAUGGGGGCAACCCUGAUCUAGCCAUGCCGCGUGAGUGAUGAAGGCCUUAGGGUUGUAAAGCUCUUUCAGCUGGGAAGAUAAUGACGGUACCAGCAGAAGAAGCCCCGGCUAACUCCGUG